AGUGAACGCUGGCGGUAGGCCUAACACAUGCCAGUCGAACGGCAGCACAGGAGAGCUUGCUCUCUAGGUGGCGAGUGGCGGACGGGUGAGGAAUACAUCGGAAUCUGCCCAGUCGUGGGGGAUAACGUAGGGAAACUUACGCUAAUACCGCAUACGACCUUCGGGUGAAAGAGGGGGAUCGCAAGACCUCUCGCGAUUGGAUGAGCCGAUGUCGGAUUAGCUAGUUAGCGGGGUAAUGGCCCACCAAGGCGACGAUCCGUAGCUGGUCUGAGAGGAUGAUCAGCCACACUGGAACUGAGACACGGUCCAGACUCCUACGGGAGGCAGCAGUGGGGAAUAUUGGACAAUGGGCGCAAGCCUGAUACAGCCAUACCGCGUGGGUGAAGAAGGCCUUCGGGUUGUAAAGCCCUUUUGUUGGGAAAGAAAUCUUUCAGGCUAAUACCCUGGGAGGAUGACGGUACCCAAAGAAUAAGCACCGGCUAACUUCGUA
Molecule: ribosomal RNA, 490 nt
Filed under: uncultured bacterium
Lineage: Bacteria
Description: partial 16S ribosomal RNA
Rfam family: Bacterial small subunit ribosomal RNA
Source: RNAcentral